UGGGGAAUAUUGGACAAUGGGCGCAAGCCUGAUCCAGCCAUGCCGCGUGAGUGAUGAAGGCCCUAGGGUUGUAAAGCUCUUUCACCGGUGAAGAUAAUGACGGUAACCGGAGAAGAAGCCCCGGCUAACUUCGUGCCAGCAGCCGCGGUAAUACGAAGGGGGCUAGCGUUGUUCGGAUUUACUGGGCGUAAAGCGCACGUAGGCGGACUAUUAAGUCAGGGGUGAAAUCCCGGGGCUCAACCCCGGAACUGCCUUUGAUACUGGUAGUCUUGAGUUCGAGAGAAGUGAGUGGAAUUCCGAGUGUAGAGGUGAAAUUCGUAGAUAUUCGGAGGAACACCAGUGGCGAAGGCGGCUCACUGGACCAUUACUGACGCUGAGGUGCGAAAGCGUGGGGAGCAAACAGG
This 404-nucleotide ribosomal RNA is filed under the name Actinomycetes bacterium. RNAcentral describes it as "Actinobacteria bacterium partial 16S ribosomal RNA". It matches the Rfam family "Bacterial small subunit ribosomal RNA", at positions 355 to 776 of the family's 1533-position model. Lineage: Bacteria; Bacillati; Actinomycetota; Actinomycetes. The record is from RNAcentral.